ACCAGUAGAAAAUACAACCAAUUCAUGUGAUUAUAUUUAAAAAUUGAUCUACAUAUCAACGAGAACACAGUAUUUUUCCUAUGAGGCACUGGGCACGGGUUUAUGCAUACACUAUACCCGAGCAGAUAUUUCACGGGCACGGAUACCGUGUGUGAUAUACAACAGAGUGGUCGCACUGAUACUUAACCUAAGUUAUCAAACAAGAAGACAAUAAAUAAAAAUAACAAUGUCAGAUGACAAUCCGUAUUCCAAAAAAUAUAACAGCAACAGUAUAUGGUCGGUAGGUUGUAGCCAACUUGGUAAUCAGGGGUACCAGACAAUAAUAGAUCCAGUAGUAAAUAAUAAUCGGAUAUAUAAAGUAUAAAUAAAUCUAAAAUUUCUGACGUGAGUCCGAAAAUGUCUUCGGAAAAUCCGUACUUAAAAAAAUAUAAUGAAA
Long non-coding RNA from Cotesia glomerata, 436 nucleotides. RefSeq lists it as uncharacterized. The transcript is spliced from 2 exons. The record is from RefSeq and is a predicted model, not a curated record. Lineage: Eukaryota; Metazoa; Arthropoda; Insecta; Hymenoptera; Braconidae.